AUAAGGAAGAUAAUGAUAAGGAAGAUAAGAAGAUAUAGAUAAGGAAGAUAAAGAUAAGGAUAAGUUUCCUUAUCCUUAUCUUUAUCUUCCUUAUCUUUAUCCUCUUAUCUUCCUUAUCCUUAUCUUCCUUAUC
Molecule: microRNA precursor, 133 nt
Filed under: Paramuricea clavata
Lineage: Eukaryota; Metazoa; Cnidaria; Anthozoa; Malacalcyonacea; Plexauridae
Source: RNAcentral